RNAcentral lists this transfer RNA (70 nucleotides) under Candidatus Syntrophosphaera thermopropionivorans. It matches the Rfam family "tRNA". Rfam says of the family: Transfer RNA (tRNA) molecules are approximately 80 nucleotides in length. Their secondary structure includes four short double-helical elements and three loops (D, anti-codon, and T loops). Further hydrogen bonds mediate the characteristic L-shaped molecular structure. tRNAs have two regions of fundamental functional importance: the anti-codon, which is responsible for specific mRNA codon recognition, and the 3' end, to which the tRNAs corresponding amino acid is attached (by aminoacyl-tRNA synthetases). tRNAs cope with the degeneracy of the genetic code in two manners: having more than one tRNA (with a specific anti-codon) for a particular amino acid; and 'wobble' base-pairing, i.e. permitting non-standard base-pairing at the 3rd anti-codon position. The record is from RNAcentral. Lineage: Bacteria; Pseudomonadati; Candidatus Cloacimonadota; Cloacimonadia (SeqCode); Cloacimonadales (SeqCode); Cloacimonadaceae (SeqCode).
GCGGUGUAGCUCAGCUGGUUAGAGCGUCGGAAUCAUAAUCCGCAGGUCCGGGGUUCAAAUCCCUGCACCG